GACGGAGGGUGCUAGCGUUGUUCGGAAUUACUGGGCGUAAAGGGCGCGUAGGCGGCCCGAGAAGUCGGAUGUGAAAGCCCGGGGCUCAACCUCGGAACGGCAUUCGAAACUUUUGGGCUCGAGAACGGAAGAGGAGAGUGGAAUACCCAGUGUAGAGGUGAAAUUCGUAGAUAUUGGGUGGAACACCGGUGGCGAAAGCGGCUCUCUGGUCCGGAUCUGACGCUGAGGCGCGAAAGCGUGGGGAGCAAACAGG
RNAcentral lists this ribosomal RNA (253 nucleotides) under uncultured bacterium. RNAcentral describes it as "partial 16S ribosomal RNA". It matches the Rfam family "Bacterial small subunit ribosomal RNA", at positions 524 to 776 of the family's 1533-position model. The record is from RNAcentral.